UGGGAAAAGGUGUUUUCUUCUAAUGCAAG
RNAcentral lists this non-coding RNA (29 nucleotides) under Mus musculus (house mouse). Lineage: Eukaryota; Metazoa; Chordata; Mammalia; Rodentia; Muridae. The record is from RNAcentral.